AUGGAAGUAUUCCAAGAACUGUGUUCAAAGGACCCCCAAUUCACUUAUUGUGUGGACGCAGAUAAGGAGGGCGGGAUUAGCACUUUGAUGUGGGCUACCGGCAAUAGCAGGCUGCAGUACAGCUUCUUUGGUGACGUGGUUACAUUCGAUACAACUUAUCGGACAAACCUCUACAACAUGUCGUUUGGUUUAUUUGUGGGUGUGAACAAUCAUUUUCAGAGCAUAAUCCUGGCUGGAGUUUUGGUGCGAAGUGAAACAGUUGAAACAUUUGAAUGGGUUUUCUCAGAAUUCAUUAGGAUAAUGGGUGGUAAGGCACCGCAAACAAUCUUGACAGAUCAUAACAGGGCUAUGGAGGUGGCCAUAAGUAAUGUGAUGCCCGGCACAGCUCACCGAUGGUGCAAGUGGCAUGUUCUAAAGAAGGCAAAGCACAAGUGGGCGAAGCCUUUCUUCAAAGGUGUGUUCUGCGCAAAAAUGACUAGCACACAACGGAGUGAAAGUGCUAACCACAUGUUAAAGAACUAUGUGCCGCCUGGGAGCCCAAUGCAUAUAUUUGUAAGGAAGUAUAUGAGCUUAAUAUUUGACAGGGAGGCAGAAGAGAAUUAUGAGGAGAAGCAUACAACAAUAGGGAGGCCACUCAUGCGAGCAAAUUUGGCUACAGAGAGGCAUGCUGGGAAAAUAUACACUAGGGCUAUGUUUGAGCAAUUCGGACAUAUAUUGUAUGAGUGCGGUGCAUAUCAGGUUGAGGAGAUUGAGAAAGGAAAAGAAUACAUUGCAAUACAUACCGAUGCAGCGCGUAGGGAAAAGUGGUGUAAAACGUCAUACAAGGUAUCCGUUAUGGAAGGAGGGGAUGAGUUUGACUGCGAGUGUGGCCAGUUUGCACACAUGGGCCUGCUCUACAGCCACGCCCUAAAGGUAAUGGACUUCAUCCGUGUGACGGAGAUCCCAAAAAAACACAUUCUGAAGCGGUGGACACGAGAUGCAAGAGAUAUCCUUCCAGCACACCUCACACAGUAC
RNAcentral lists this ribosomal RNA (1014 nucleotides) under Triticum aestivum (bread wheat). RNAcentral's name for it is "partial small subunit ribosomal RNA". The record is from RNAcentral. Lineage: Eukaryota; Viridiplantae; Streptophyta; Magnoliopsida; Poales; Poaceae.